UGGAGGCAGCAGUGGGGAAUUUUCCGCAAUGGGGGGAACCCUGACGGAGCAAUACCGCGUGAGGGAGGAAGCUUUUUGGAGUGUAAACCUCUUUUCUUAGGGAAGAAGAUGACGGUACCUAGGGAAUCAGCAUCGGCUAACUUCGUGCCAGCAGCCGCGGUAAUACGAGGGAUGCAAGCGUUAUCCGGAAUUAUUGGGCGUAAAGCGUUCGUAGGUGGUUGUGUAAGUCAGUUUUCAAAGAGUCCAGCUUAACUGGAUAAAGGGGAUUGAAACUGCGCGACUAGAGUUAGGUAGGGGUAAGAGGAAUUCCUAGUGUAGCGGUGAAAUGCGUAGAUAUUAGGAAGAACACCAGUGGCGAAAGCGUCUUACUGGGCCAUAACUGACACUGAGGGACGAAAGCUAGGGGAGCGAAAGGGAUUAGAUACCCCGGUAGUCCG
RNAcentral lists this ribosomal RNA (437 nucleotides) under uncultured bacterium. Its description in RNAcentral is "bacterial SSU rRNA". It matches the Rfam family "Bacterial small subunit ribosomal RNA", at positions 343 to 797 of the family's 1533-position model. The record is from RNAcentral.